This 391-nucleotide unclassified non-coding RNA is filed under the name soil metagenome. Its description in RNAcentral is "partial contains 5.8S ribosomal RNA, internal transcribed spacer 2, and large subunit ribosomal RNA". The stretch from base 1 to 122 matches the Rfam family "5.8S ribosomal RNA", at positions 35 to 154 of the family's 154-position model. The record is from RNAcentral.
GAUGAAGAACGUAGCGAAAUGCGAUACUUGGUGUGAAUUGCAGAAUCCCGUGAACCAUCGAGUCUUUGAACGCAAGUUGCGCCCGAAGCCACUAGGCCGAGGGCACGCCUGCCUGGGCGUCACACGCCGUUGCCCCCCCAUCUACUCCUUCGGGAUUGCGGGGGGGCGGAUGAUGGCCUCCCGUGCGCCUAGCCGCGCGGUUGGCAUAAAUACCAAGUCCUCGGCGACGCACGCCACGACAAUCGGUGGUGGCGAAACCUCGGUUGCCCGUCGUGUGCGUUCGUCGCGCAUCGAGGGCUCGAAAAAAUGCUCGGCUCCGGCUGGGCUUUCAACGCGACCCCAGGUCAGGCGGGGUUACCCGCUGAAUUUAAGCAUAUCAAUAAGCGGAGGA